GAAGAAAUUAGUCAACGUGCUGGAUGCUGUUUUCAAGCCUGACGUUCGCUGAUCCAGAGCAGACAUGCAGCCAUUGUUGGUGAUUAAAGAAGAAAUUCUUCCUGAACACCAGGAAGGUAAUCUGAGGGUUGACCAGGAGGACAU
Molecule: long non-coding RNA, 144 nt
Organism: Thalassophryne amazonica
Lineage: Eukaryota; Metazoa; Chordata; Actinopteri; Batrachoidiformes; Batrachoididae
Exons: 2
Source: RefSeq, a predicted model, not a curated record